UACGUAGGGGGCGAGCGUUGUCCGGAAUUAUUGGGCGUAAAGCGCGUGUAGGCGGCUUGGUAAGUCUGGUGUGAAAUCUUGAGGCUCAACCUCAAACGUGCAUCGGAUACUGCCUCGCUCGAGUUCGGGAGGGGAGAGCGGAACUCCUAGUGUAGCGGUGGAAUGCGCAGAGAUUAGGAAGAACACCCGUGGCGAAAGCGGCUCUCUGGAACGAUACUGACGCUGAGACGCGAAAGCGUGGGGAGCGAACAGG
This 253-nucleotide ribosomal RNA is filed under the name uncultured bacterium. Its description in RNAcentral is "partial 16S ribosomal RNA". It matches the Rfam family "Bacterial small subunit ribosomal RNA", at positions 524 to 776 of the family's 1533-position model. The record is from RNAcentral.